GUCGAGGGGCAGCACAGGUAGCAAUACUGGGUGGCGACCGGCAAACGGGUGCGGAACACGUACGCAAUCUACCGUUAUCUGGGGCAUAGCCCGGAGAAAUCCGGAUUAACUCCCCAUAAUAUAGUUGAGUGGCAUCACUUGAUUAUUAAAAAUUUAUUGGAUAAUGAUGAGCGUGCGUCCCAUUAGCUAGUUGGUAGGGUAACGGCCUACCAAGGCGACGAUGGGUAGCUGGUGUGAGAGCACGACCAGCCACACGGGCACUGAGACACGGGCCCGACUCCUACGGGAGGCAGCAGUGAGGAAUAUUGGUCAAUGGACGCAAGUCUGAACCAGCCAUGCCGCGUGAAGGAUGAAGGCCUUCUGGGUUGUAAACUUCUUUUAUGGGGGAAGAAAACUACGGUUUCUACUGUAGCCGACGGUACCCUAGGAAUAAGCACCGGCUAACUCCGUGCCAGCAGCCGCGGUAAUACGGAGGGUGCAAGCGUUAUCCGGAUUUACUGGGUUUAAAGGGUGUGUAGGCGGGCUUUUAAGUCAGUGGUGAAAUCUCCGGGCUCAACCUGGAAACUGCCAUUGAUACUAUUAGUCUUGAAUUCUGUUGAGGUAGGCGGAAUAAGUCAUGUAGCGGUGAAAUGCUUAGAUAUGACUUAGAACACCGAUUGCGAAGGCAGCUUACUAAACAGACAUUGACGCUGAGGCACGAAAGCGUGGGGAUCAAACAGGAUUAGAUACCCUGGUAGUCCACGCCCUA
RNAcentral lists this ribosomal RNA (748 nucleotides) under uncultured Bacteroidota bacterium. RNAcentral describes it as "bacterial SSU rRNA". It matches the Rfam family "Bacterial small subunit ribosomal RNA", at positions 61 to 804 of the family's 1533-position model. The record is from RNAcentral. Lineage: Bacteria; Pseudomonadati; Bacteroidota.